Molecule: ribosomal RNA, 223 nt
Filed under: Staphylococcus simulans
Lineage: Bacteria; Bacillati; Bacillota; Bacilli; Caryophanales; Staphylococcaceae
Description: partial 16S ribosomal RNA
Rfam family: Bacterial small subunit ribosomal RNA
Source: RNAcentral
AGGGAAUCUUCCGCAAUGGGCGAAAGCCUGACGGAGCAACGCCGCGUGAGUGAUGAAGGUCUUCGGAUCGUAAAACUCUGUUAUUAGGGAAGAACAAGGAUGUAAGUAACUGUGCAUCCCUUGACGGUACCUAAUCAGAAAGCCACGGCUAACUACGUGCCAGCAGCCGCGGUAAUACGUAGGUGGCAAGCGUUAUCCGGAAUUAUUGGGCGUAAAGCGCGCG